Molecule: long non-coding RNA, 747 nt
Filed under: Coturnix japonica (Japanese quail)
Lineage: Eukaryota; Metazoa; Chordata; Aves; Galliformes; Phasianidae
Description: lncRNA (ENSCJPG00005006928.1)
Source: RNAcentral
GCCUUGUGGUGUGUCAGCCACCCCUCCCAGCUUCAUUAUCAUCAGCAAAACUGCUGAGGGUGCAUUCUAUCCUUCCAUCCAGGUCGCAGAUGAAGACACUGAACAUGACCAGACCCACUACUGACCUCCGGGGAACACAGUUAAGGACCUCCUGUUCUGUCAUAUGUCGACCUUCACCUAUACCUUCAUUAUCCACUGGGGAGCUGUAUCAUCAUGUCUGCACAACUGCAUGCUAGAAUGGCACUGUGAGAGAAAGCUUGGGAAGCAAUCAAGGAAAACAAGAAAUCAAGGAAUUAAGUUGAAAAGUACUCAAUACAAAAAAACUGCACAACCCAUCAAGCUCCAUCUCCCUCCCUCCAUGAUUCCCCAAAUCUUGCCAAUGCAGAGAAAGCCAUCAGUACGCAGUAUGGCAGUGCUUACCUGAAACAUCUGCCAUGGAGACUUGAAACUGAAACUGGAGAUGACCCAAGAAGUGUGGGAAUACAAGAAAAGCUGUUCAGAGCAGAAGCUGUGGAGCAAGAUAAACAGCAUGAGAACCAAGGACACCUCUAGAAGGAGAAGAAGGGACUCACAGCUCUGAUUAGAUAUGCGCCUGCAUGGACAGUUGAAAAGUGUUUUGUAGAAUGCUCUGUUGACAUGUAAAGGUGGUCGGGAAAGUUGUAAGUUGGAUGGAAAAGCUAGAAAACAAAAACUUGUGAAGGUAUAUAAGGGAUGUGAGAACUUGUAAUAAAUGAUUUGGAUCGUUCA